RNAcentral lists this transfer RNA (55 nucleotides) under Litoditis aff. marina PmI. Its description in RNAcentral is "tRNA-Gln". Lineage: Eukaryota; Metazoa; Nematoda; Chromadorea; Rhabditida; Rhabditidae. RNAcentral also lists the same sequence under 1 other name. The record is from RNAcentral.
UGUAAUUUAGUUUAGGUAGAAUAUUUGUUUUUGGUGCAAAAGGGUAUAAUUACAA